ACAAACUUGGUCAUUUAGAGGAAGUAAAAGUCGUAACAAGGUUUCCGUAGGUGAACCUGCGGAAGGAUCAUUAAAAGAAUUAGAGGCUUUUCGUCUCAAAUUCCCAACCCUUUGUUUAAUUAAACCUUUAGUUGCUUUGGUGUAUGGUCUGACAUUGUCAUGAUGUCAGGUGCCUGCCGAUAGCCUACUUUAAACUCUUGUUUUAAUUUAUGUCAUGUCUAAAUUUUAAUUUAUAAUUAAAUAAAACUUUCAACAACGGAUCUCUUGGUUCUGGCAUCGAUGAAGAACGCAGC
This 293-nucleotide unclassified non-coding RNA is filed under the name uncultured fungus. Its description in RNAcentral is "partial contains small subunit ribosomal RNA, internal transcribed spacer 1, and 5.8S ribosomal RNA". The stretch from base 1 to 73 matches the Rfam family "Eukaryotic small subunit ribosomal RNA", at positions 1759 to 1831 of the family's 1831-position model. Lineage: Eukaryota; Fungi. The record is from RNAcentral.